UACGGAGGGUGCAAGCGUUGUCCGGAUUUAUUGGGUUUAAAGGGUGCGUAGGCGGCUCAUUAAGUCUGGGGUGAAAGCCCGUUGCUCAACAACGGAACUGCCCUGGAAACUGGCGAGCUUGAGUACAGACGAGGGUGGCGGAAUAGAUGGUGUAGCGGUGAAAUGCAAAGAUACCAUCUAGAACCCCGAUUGCGAAGGCAGCUGCCUAGACUGUAACUGACGCUGAGGCACGAAAGCGUGGGGAGCGAACAGG
This 253-nucleotide ribosomal RNA is filed under the name uncultured bacterium. RNAcentral describes it as "partial 16S ribosomal RNA". It matches the Rfam family "Bacterial small subunit ribosomal RNA", at positions 524 to 776 of the family's 1533-position model. The record is from RNAcentral.